RNAcentral lists this ribosomal RNA (500 nucleotides) under uncultured bacterium. RNAcentral's name for it is "partial 16S ribosomal RNA". It matches the Rfam family "Bacterial small subunit ribosomal RNA", at positions 29 to 523 of the family's 1533-position model. The record is from RNAcentral.
AUUGAACGCUGGCGGAAUGCUUUACACAUGCAAGUCGAACGGCAGCACGGUCUUCGGUUUGGUGGCGAGUGGCGAACGGGUGAGUAGUACAUCGGAACGUGGCCAUACGCGGGGGAUAAGGAAGCGAGAGCUACGCGAUUACCGCAUACGAACGAAGGAUGAAAGCGGGGGAUCGCAAGACUUAGGGAGAAUGGAGCGGCGGAUGGCAGAUGCGGUAGUUGGUAGGGUCAAGGCAUACCAAGCCGACGAUGUGUAGCGGGUCUGAGAGGAUGAUCGGCCACAUUGGGACUGAGACACGGCCCAGACUCUUACGGGAGGAAGCAGUGGGGAAUUUUGGACAAUGGACGCAAGUCUGAUCCAGCCAUUCCGCGAGCAGGAUGAAGGCCCUCGGGUUGUAAACUGCUUUUGUACAGAACGAAAAGGCUCUGGUUAAUACCUAGGGCUCAUGACGGUACUGUAAGAAUAAGCACCGGCUAACUACGUGCCAGCAGCCGCCGUAA